CGUCUCCCUACGUUACACAGCCCCGACUUCAAGGGGAAGUUGUUUUCUCUUUCAUUUUCACGCAGGGCUAUGGCACCAAAAAGGAGCACUAGGGCAGCAGCGGGUAUUGAGAAGGAGUUGCCGGCUAGAACUACGAGGCCGCCCAGGAGCAAGGCAACAGCUGAGCCUGAGCCUAGAAGAAAAGCACCUAGUAAGGCGCCCGUGCGCAAGGCAGCUCCAAGACGCGCGGGUAAGCAGGACGAGGGCGCGCUGGAAGGGAUUUCCCAGAAUCUUGCUCGCUUGGUGGAUAGAAUGGGAAAACUGGAAUCUAGAGUUUAUCAGAGGUCCGACAGGGCAUCAGUAUCCCCGCAACGGGAUGCAACAAGGGGCAGGAGACGCACGAGGGACAGGGACGUCUCCAGGACCCCCUCAGCUAGUCCAGUAUCCAGUGGUGACGACUCCACAGCGGCCACCGAGCGGACCGAACGGAGUGGCGGCAGUGCUCGCAAGAGGUCGCGCAGGUCUUCCAGACGUUGUUGCCAGACUGCUACCGACAGCGACUCAACGGAGAGACGACAGGUUUCGGUCGCUAGCGCCGGACGCAGACCUCCAGCCCACCAUUUUCCCACAGGAGCUGUGGAACCUUGGAGAGGAGAAGCCUGGUCAGAAUUAAUGCUAACCAUCGCACCUGCGACCAGGAGGGCUUACCGUGCAGCGGUGACAGCAUUCACCAAGUUCAGGCUGGAAGCGGGUUAUGGCAGCAGAUGGCCAACCAGCGAGGACGAGGUGCUACAUUUCAUCAUUCGCCAGAGGAGGGCCAACGUCUCAGCACACGCCAUGCGGCGUCAACUGGCAGGCAUCGCCUUCUACAGCAAAGCGGCAGGAUGGGGAGACCCAUGCAACGACUACAGAACAAGGAAGCUACUGAGAGGGUGGAACAAGAGGGCGCCAAGGCAAAAAGACAGACGACGUCCCCUCUCCUACAACGUCCUUAGCAGGCUCAUCUCGACACUGAAGAAAAUCUGCACUUCACGUUACGAGGUGAAACUUUUCACAGCAGCUUACACCACAGCCUUCUUCGGGGCACUCAGACUGGGGGAGGUGGUAGCCGACUCCAAGGCUGAUGGGUCAGGGAAGGCACUACAGCUCAGGGAUGUCUCCAUCGGGCAAAACUCAUUAGUGAUUAGGAUCAGACAAUCCAAGACCGAUCAAGGGGGGAGAGGGGCAUCCCUCAGCAUUCAAGGCUUAGAACCAGGGCGGUUAUGUCCAGUCAGGGCACUUUCCGAAUACCUACACAUACGCAGGUCAUCCCCAGGUACACUUUUCAUUCAUAAAAACGGCACCCCGCUAUCUAGAUACCAGUUCAUGGCGAUAUUCCGCAGCGCACUAACCGGCCUGGGCCUCCCCGCAGCGGAAUACGGAGGGCAUUCAUUCAGGAUAGGAGCAGCCACCACUGCAGCGGUGGGGGGCGUGCCAGUGGACAUCAUAAAAACCAUGGGGAGGUGGAAAUCAGCAGCUUACACUUCAUACAUCAGACCCGGCCUUCUGCAGGAGGCUACGAGGUCUGCCGGCCCCUCUCCUCCUUUUCUUCAGGUGCGCUGCCGUGAACUCAGAAGAUCGGUCGAAGGGACGGAGAUGGCAUCAUACCAUAGCGGUCAGUCGGGAGGAACCGGGCGCCGAGGACGCCACAGGAAGGACAAAAUUGCCCGCUAGGAACUGGACUGAUAGUAUGGGACUCUCGCAAAAAGUGGCGAGGUGGUGGAGGACUCAGGUUAUCGGACAGCUGCAUGGCAGCGCUUCAGGCCACCGCUGGGGCAAGCGGUAUCCAGUUAUUCACAUUGUUAUUCUAGUCAUUGUUUUAUUUUGUUGGCUACGGAAGUUAGGGUUGGCGGCAAGGAGAGUGGGGGGUCCCCACCCUCCUUUUGUGGCGUAUGACAUGGGUCGCGGAUCUCGUAAAAUACUCCACCCCCCCCCUUUUCAUUGGCAUUAGGGGGGGGAAGGGAUAUUUUGGCCACCACCAGGUGGCGCUGGAGACCGACUACCGGGUCAGGUGUUGGUUAUGCCGUGACUCUUGUGGAUCAGACAGCAUUGGGCUGUUUGAUCGUUGAUCCGGGACCCAUGCAGGCAGCCAACCCUUUAUUCUGUAACCAAUAAAAUGUUGUGGCCAGUUUUACCCAAAGCUAUUGUUGUCAGUGUGUUUAUUGUUAACCAGCAUACGGCGGGGACAGUCGACCAUGCCCAUGCA
Molecule: long non-coding RNA, 2224 nt
Organism: Anolis carolinensis (green anole)
Lineage: Eukaryota; Metazoa; Chordata; Lepidosauria; Squamata; Anolidae
Source: Ensembl